CCAAACUCUAAUAUGCUUCAUAAAAUUCCUUCUCCAUAUUUAGAGGAGCUCUUGCAUUAUAAAAGAGGUGGAGAGUAAAUGACCUCAGACAGGUUUUCUUCUGUAUCAUCAAACGGAUGAUAAAGCAUCAGUGUCUGCAGAGGUGAUCUACAAAGGGUGAAAGAUGGGGGAUUUUCAGAUGGAGGAGUUUGCACCUGCCGCUCCGUACCUCAGGAAAUCAGAUAAGGAGCAUCUAGAGGCCCAAUCUUGUUCACCUUCCUGCACGAGCCCGCUGUGCUGUUUAACCUCAAAGAGCGUUACACAGCCUGGAUGAUCUAUACCUACUCUGGGCUCUUCUGUGUCACUGUAAACCCCUACAAGCUUACAGAGGCAAGAAGAGGACUGAAGCUCCUCCUCACAUCUUCUCCAUCUCUGACAAUGAACACCAGUACAUGCUGUCAGGUGGGUCGACACUUCUUAACUUGGUUAGAACGGUGCUUUCCUAUAAAAUAUUUUAUAUGAAAUCAUGCCUUUUCAACAGCAUAGUCUAUUAAUUAAGUCUGAUAGGUGGAAAUGAAUGAAUGGUAUGUAACUUUGUGUAUGAUUUAACACAGGGUUUUCAAACUUUUUGAUGCAAAGGACUAAUGUUAACAACAAACUGCUUCUUUCCACUUCAAGGUCUGCACAGAUCCAACAUUGUAACACGUAUGCUUGAAUUUCUUACUGCACCUGUUUGCAUUAAGUUAACACAUAACCGUUCUGACAUUAAAAACCCACAGUACGGGCGAAGCUCAUUUCAGCAGUUCAUGCACGCAGCCGCAUUACUUACUUAAUCAAGAGCACUCGCGGUACAUGCUGUAAUGCAUCCUUUCACAAGUUCAUCAGUCAGAAAUGAGUGGGUCACCAAGGGACAGAAUGUCCAACAGCUGGAAACUACUUCUUGAUAUCAAAAACACACUCUUGGGCCUAGGUAGCUCAGUGGUAAAGACGCUGGCUACCAACCCUGGAGUCGUGAGUUCGAAUCCCAGGGUGUGUCUCUGUGGUAACACGCUCAACAGGCCACACGAUAAGAUGCGUGGAUUGACGGUCUCAGGCGCGGAGACAACUGAGAUUCGUCCUCCACCACGGAGGCGAGUCACUACACCACCACGAGGACUUACAGCAAAAAAUUGGGAAUUGGACAUUCCAAAUUGGGGAGAAAAUAAUAAAAAAAUCACUCUUAACAAAAUUACCAUUAUAAUACACUUUCUGUAACAUGUAUUAUCUUUGUUGGACUGGUGUACUAUGCCACUGGUGCUCUUUCCAAAUCGGUGUAUGAGAGGAUGUUCCUUUGGAUGGUUGUAAGAAUCAACCAAUCAUUGGACACCAAGCAGCCACACCAGUACGUUAUUGGAGUACUGGACAUUGCUGGAUUUGAGAUGUAGGUAUGAGUUUUACUUUUUUUCCCCCAGGUCACAAAGCUGUAUAUUAUUCUCAAUGUAACAGAAGAAAAUAAAAAUAAAUAAAUAAAAUAAAAAUGACAGAGCAUAUUGACCUUUUUUUUCUAGACUGUAGUUUUGUCAUUAAUCAUCAUAAUUUAAAUAAAUAUUCUGGUUAAGUUAAACUCAUUCCACAGCAUAUGUGGCAUAAUUUUGAUCACCACAAAAAUGAUAUCAAAAAUCUAGGUUACAGUGAGGCACUUACAGUACAAUGGAAACGAAUGGGGCCAAUCCAUUAAUGUUAUAAUACUCACUGUUUCAAGAGUAUUGCCACAAGACUUAAACAUGAUAUUAAUGUGAUAAAAUUGCUUUCUAACCUUAUAUGUGUAAAGUUAUAUCCAAUUGUACAACUUCGUUGCCUUGAUAACAAAAUGCUGUAAAUCAUGUUACCCUCCCCCCCUUCCAAAAUAAUGCUUUAAACAACUUUACAUCUCAAAUAUUAGACAAGUUUUAACAAAAGAAUGAAUGUAAUGUAAAAAAAAAAAAUUAUAAGCUUCACAAUUUUGAUUUUAAACCCUCAAAUAAUUGGCCUCAUUCACUUCCAUUGGAAGUGUCUCACUGUAGAUUUUUUAUUUAUAUAUAUAUAUAGAAAAGGAGGGAUGAGUAGAAAUACAUUUUUGAGGUAAAUGUAUUACCUCAAAUACUGCCAUAAUUUCUGUCAAUUGAGCUUCAAUUGUAUUGAACCAGAAUAAUCCUUUAAAUCCUUAAAAAUACAGAUGAUUCAGAUGUUCAUUUCUACCUGGCUCACUAUGCUGGCACUGUUGACUACAACAUUAAGUUGACUACAACUGCUGUCUAACCUGUUUGCUGGCUAUGCUGCUGCCGAUUCAGGUGUGCUGCAGCAACCCAAUUGCUUAGGGGAAAAAAUAGCUUUUUAAAGGUUAAUUUAUACAUAUGACACAUGAGCAUGAUUUAUAUUUCUUCCAAUCGCUGCAUAGGGUGGAGGACGUGGCAAAGGUGGAAAGGAGAACAAGAAAAAGGGCUUUUCUUUUCAGGUGGUGUCUGCCCUUAACAGGGUAACAUACAGAGCAUUUAAUAUUGGAAUACAACAUUCUAGUAGUUUCUAUGUCUACUGACAGCCUAAAAUAUAUUACAAUCCUCAGGAGAAUCUGAACAAGCUGAUGACCAAUUUGUGGUCACUUUGUGCACUGCAUCAUCCCCAAUGAGACCAAGACUCCUGGGGCGAUGGAGAAUCCUCUGGUCAUGCACCAGCUGCGCUGUAACGGUGUGCUGGAUUCUGUAUGGCGAUUUCAAGCAGAGGCAUACUUAACUAUGACUUAAGAUUUAUUUAAGCAUCAAAGACUUAAAUGCUAAAAUGAGCAUAAACAUCCAUUCAAAAGGAUAAUGAUUUACCGUACAUUGAAGGUGAAUCUCAAAAAUGAUUAUUAAUCUCUUGAUUGUGAAAGAGACCACAUCAUGAACCAUUUUGCUAUCCUUGGGGGACAGUUUAUUGACAGCAGGAAAGGAGCAGAAAAACUACUGGGAUCUCUGGACAUUGACCACAACCACUUUUUUACAUUUUCAUUCCAUGUAUUGUCUAACAUUAGAUUAUCUUGUUUCUUAUUAAGGUGUUCUUCAAGGCUGGUUUUCUGGGUACCCUUGAAGAGAUGCCAGACAAUCGUCUUGCUCUCAUCAUUACCGGAAUUCAAAGAAGAAUUCACAUUGCUUUAUCACAUUAAAGAAGGAAUUGAAUCCUGAAGCUCGUUUGACUUUGGGGAAAUGCACUGAGGCCCUUGGUGGGACUUUUUGGCAGUGAGUUUUGCCACAGCAAGCACCACUCAUAUUUUCUUUAGGUAAUGUACAUAUGUAAUUUCCAUUGUAUACAAUGAAAGGGGAGCGUUCAAGGCAGCUGGAAGAGAAGGAUUAAAAAUGAUGAACUCUUAUGAGGAAUCUCUGGACCAUUUGGAAACCACGAAGAGAGAGAACAAGAACCUCCAAAUUGAGUUAAAUCAGGUCAAAACUGACAUUGAACAUAAGCUGACCGAGAAAGAUGAGGAGAUGGAUCAGGCUAAGAGAGACCAGCAGAAAGUUGUGGAUACUCUGCAAAGCUCACUUGAUUCAGAGACUCACAGCACGCAUGAAGCCUUCAAGCAGCUCACCUACCACGUCACUAUCUGAUAUAGAAAUAAACGUCUUUGUAUUCAUACUAUCACUACUGAAAGCAUAUGGGUAACAAGAAAGUCACUUCAUACCCUGAGACAAUUUGUAGACUGAUGAGGACUGAUGCAGGAGUCUUCUGCAGGACCUGGUGAACAAAUUGCAGCAGAAGUUCAAGUCUCACAAGAGAGCUGGAUAGGAGGCAGUAUGUUUAGGAGAACUAUUUCUAUUCAUUUAUGUCUUCUCUGGAAAUAUAUUUUACAUUUUAAUAGACAGAGAAUACGUAUCUCUGAAACUGGAACAUAAUAAUACUGCAUAUGUGUAAAAUUGGAAUUUACCAUAUCGUUUAUCAAACUCAAAAAAUCUAAAUAUGCCCAAUCACUUCCUGACAAGAAUACAUUGUUGUUUAGGAGGAACAGGCCAACUCUAAUCUGGCCAAGUUCUGUAAGCUGCAGCAUGAGAUGGAUGAAGCAGAAGAAAGAGCUGAUAUUGCUGAAUCUCGUCAACAAACAGAGCCAAGAGCCGUGAUACUGGAUCUAAGAAAGGGCACGAUGAAGAGUGAAGCUCUCACAUGGAUCUUUCUGAAAGUGUGCCUCUUCAUUAUCUGUAGUUCUGUAGAAUAAAUGAAUAUGUAAAUAAGUACCUGCUUCUGCACUAUUGAUGUUGUUUUAACACUGAG
This is a long non-coding RNA of Xyrauchen texanus (razorback sucker), 4233 nucleotides long. RefSeq lists it as uncharacterized. Lineage: Eukaryota; Metazoa; Chordata; Actinopteri; Cypriniformes; Catostomidae. The record is from RefSeq and is a predicted model, not a curated record. The transcript has 5 exons.